AGCAGUUAUCAUUGGAAUUAGGGAUUCAAAUCCUGCAGCCACUUCAUCUCUUGCUUUGAAUUCGUUAGGCACCCCCCUUGGCACACCUAUGGCAUCAAUAUACACAUGGGGGUCGAAGCUCCCUCGGAUAGGGGUCUCUCGUUUGGUUCUAGAGUGUACAUGUGUGAGGUUUAACGUGUUAUGGUUACCAUCUGGAAUGAUAUGGAUAGGCAUUAUGACUUUAGUUAGGGCACACUCCCCCCACCAUUGCCCAGUUAAUUGGGACCUCAAUUGUUUAUCACCACAUAACCAAUAGAUAUCACCGAUUGUCUUUGUGUGAUUCAUUAGCAGUGAUACGGGUGGAUUAUGGUAAGUUGAGCAGUAUCCUGAUGGGAAUUUGCCCAGAUACAAACCGGUGUUCUUAGAUAUUG
Molecule: non-coding RNA, 410 nt
Organism: Pelobates cultripes (western spadefoot toad)
Lineage: Eukaryota; Metazoa; Chordata; Amphibia; Anura; Pelobatidae
Source: the annotation of a GenBank genome assembly